Molecule: ribosomal RNA, 467 nt
Filed under: uncultured Leptolinea sp.
Lineage: Bacteria; Bacillati; Chloroflexota; Anaerolineae; Anaerolineales; Anaerolineaceae
Description: bacterial SSU rRNA
Rfam family: Bacterial small subunit ribosomal RNA
Source: RNAcentral
CAAAGGAAUUGACGGGACCCCGCACAAGCAGCGGAGCGUGUGGUUUAAUUCGAGGCUACACGAAGAACCUUACCAGGGUUUGACAUGCAAGUGGUAGGAAUCCGAAAGGUGACCGACCCUUCGGGGAGCUUGCACAGGUGCUGCAUGGCUGUCGUCAGCUCGUGUCGUGAGAUGUUCGGUUAAGUCCGCUAACGAGCGCAACCCUCGUCGUGUGUUAUACGUGUCACACGAUACUGCCGGUAUCAAGCCGGAGGAAGGUGGGGAUGAUGUCAAGUCAGCAUGGCCUUUAUAUCCUGGGCUACACACACGCUACAAUGGCAGAUACAAUAGGUUGCGAAACCGCGAGGUGGAGCCAAUCCUCAAAGUCUGUCUCAGUUCAGAUUGUAGGCUGCAACUCGCCUGCAUGAAGUUGGAGUUGCUAGUAAACGCAGGACAGCUAUACUGCGUUGAAUACGUUCCCGGGGUUU